Long non-coding RNA from Syngnathoides biaculeatus (alligator pipefish), 5589 nucleotides. RefSeq lists it as uncharacterized. The transcript has 10 exons. The record is from RefSeq and is a predicted model, not a curated record. Lineage: Eukaryota; Metazoa; Chordata; Actinopteri; Syngnathiformes; Syngnathidae.
ACCGUGCCUGUUUUCCUCCCGUCUUGUUCUUCUGGCGAGACAGCCAGAGAAGGAAAAACAGGCGCUGCUGUUUGUACAAAUCCAGCAAGAUCUUUUCUCCUCUGAUGGCUCGCGUCCCAAGGCCUGCAGCGAAACCAGCUCAGACGUCUGCGCGAGCGGGGGCAUCAGACGCUCGUGUCCACUGACUCCUCGUUUUCUCUCAAGUGGGACCAGAAAGACGCCGCAAGGGGGCACUCGAGCGGAAAAAGCUAAGAGUGAGACCGGUGGAAUAUAUGUGCCGAGGAAGUGACUUUUACCGAGACCAGACCGGCAGAGGUGGAGCGGCGCUAAGUGAUUUGCCAAAUAUGGGGAGUAGCCUGAAACCUCGGCGGGGCUGACACAUUACUGGCAUAGCUGAGCUUAUCCUUCCACAUGCACACGGGCUCCGAACCACGCCAGGAAUCCCCGGGACACAAGGUACAAGCUCGGAGGAGAGGACGUGCGCUAACUCUGCUCUGCUUUGUGCUUCCAUACAGAAACAAAAAGCGCCUUCCUGGCCCGGCUUGCAGACAGUUAUUGUUACUUGAUUUAAUUGAAGGUUACACACAAAGGGUUUCUUAUAAACGCUUGGACACUUUGCAUAGUUGCAGUAAAUUCCAAGUGCAAUCAUGCCAGUUAUUUGCAGCCUUGCGAAGUGGGAGCUGAAAUAGUCGCAUCGUUCUUACCUCCGGAGAUUAUUUCAAGUACGUGCAUGAGGCCCAAUACAAGAACGGUCACCUUACAAUGAUGAAAAUACUCACUUUUGAUAUCCUUUUGAUCUGCUGCGUUUGUUAUUGCAGUUGCAGUGGUGUAUAACCCCCCCGCCAGCACGGUGACUCAGUGGGUAAAGCGUUGGCCUCACGGUUCUGAGGACCCGGGUACGAUCCCGGGCCCCGCCUGUGUGGAGUUUGCAUGUUUCCCCGUGCCUGCGUGGGUUUUCUUCGGGUGGGCACUCCCGUUUCCUCCCACAUCCCAAAAACACGCAACAUUAAUUGGACACGCUAAAUUGCCCCUAGGUGUGAUUGUGAGUGCGACUGUUUGUCUCUAUGUGCCCUGCGAUUGACUGGCAACCAGUUCAGGGUGUAACCCAGCCUCCUGCCUGUUGACAGCCAGCAUAGGCUCCAGCACUCCCGUGACCCAUGUGAGGAUAAGCGGCAAAAAAAUGAAUGGAUGGAUGGAUGGAUGGAUGUUUGUUCUUGCUGUUGCAGUGGUGUAUAACUUCAUUUUUUGGGGGAUUAUCUUUAAACAAUAAGCAUCCAGAUACCAUCAUGGACCUGAAACAAGUGCUAAAAAUUGUUGCUUCUGCUUUGCGCUGCCAGAUAUACCGCAAAAAGUUCAAGGUUAGUACAUAGUCUUAGAAAAAAAAAAGGCAGUCGUUCUAGUAGAACCUGUUCAUAAAGAAGAAAUCAGCUGAAUGUCGUAAAUAGACACACAGUAGGAGGGAAUUCUAAAGGCUCAGAUCGGGGCCCAAAUUUCCAUCAUCUGUUUUACGGGAGGAAUUUUCUCACAGGUGUGUAUCAAUUGUUUGGUGCACGACUCGCCUGCUCAUAGAUGACAGCGAGCUAUUUGUUUCACUGUCAACAGAGCACGUCUGUGCCACUAAUCCGAGCAACAGAAAAAUCAAUUCAUUAGCCAGUCCCUCAGUGGUCAUGUGACCAUGUCUGGAGUUCCACCCUGCCAAUUUUGGAAUGCACGUACCUGUUGAAAUGUGUCAAAUUGAAUUCUGACAUCAGGGUUAAAAGGUCCAUAGUGAAAUGAACUAAAUGAGGUGAGCAAAAUAAAAUGUUGGACAAUCGGGAUGAUGCAGGUCAGCACAAGAAAACUAAGACCACAAGCGACAUGGGUCAAAUUUGUUGCAGGUCCCAAGUGCACUGCUGUAACAUUUGGAAAUGACUUUCAUAGCAACAGGUCGCUUCUAAGACCAAAUACAGAGCAGUUAGCGUCAUAGUCGAGCUGGUCAGACCUUGAAAAUGGAAAAUUUGUCUUGAGGGCGUAGUUGUGUAAUGCUUUAGGAUCCACAGAUUGCAGAAGUCCACGGAAACACAAACUUUGUUGUCUUUGUAGCAGAAUUCCAAAUAAAUACAGGGACAGACAAACAAAAACGCAAAGGCAUAACUCGUGGUCGGGGGGCAGGAGGUUGGCCAAACAGCCGUGGGAACAGCCAAACAUGAAAUGGCGGAAAUCGAGGUCGGAGAUGGACAGCGGAGGGGAUUUGCGGGGUCGCGUCUUGCACGGGUGAGUUGCAAACAAUCUGAUAAAUCGAAUCCAAUUCGUGGAUUUGAGUUUGUCAGACUAAAUGCAUUUUUUAAAAAAAAUAUAUGUAUAUAUAUUUGGUAGCAGGCUUAGCACUUCAAAUCAUUUUCUCGUUAGUUUCCGUAUCUUUAGGAAGGAGGUUUUCACGAGACUGGGCAUUGCUCAUUUCCAAGGCGCAAAAGAAGUGAUUUACCAACAUUGGAAACAUUCGAACGUGAUAUUGUGAUACGCAGUGAAAGCAGGGAGCAGGUGGAGGAACAAUUGGAAAGAUGGAGGGAUGCACUGAAAAAGAGAGGAAUGAAGAUUAGCCAAAGUAAAACAGAAUAUAUACGCAUAAAUGAGAGGGGCGCAGGGGGAAAAGUGAAGCUCCAGGGAGAGGAGAUAGCGAGGGUGGACGACUUCAAAUACUCGAGGUCAACAAUACAGAGCAAUGGUGAGUGUGGUAAGGAAGAGAAGAAAAGGGGUCCAAGCGGGGUGGAACAGUUGGCGGAAGGUGUCUGGUCUUUUAUGUGACAGAAGAGUCUCCGCUAGGAUGAAGGGCAAAGUUUAUAAAACAGUAAUGAGGCCGGCCGUGAUGUACGGAUAAGAGACGGUGGCGCUGACGAGACAACAGGAAGCAGAACUGGAGGUGGCAGAAAUGAAGAUGUUGAGGUUCAAAAAAAUCUUGACACUGGCACUAAAUCAGAAUAGGGCACUUGAGCGUGCAGUGGAAAUGCAGCCCAAGGUUUUGUCGAUUAGCAGAGCCAAUCAAAAUGUCAAAGCAGCCAGACUCUAUUUCUUCGAGAGCGAGCACAGCGGGGAGGAGGAGGAGGAGCUGCUGAGUAAACAUGUGACUUCCACGCAACGGAGUUCUCUAUACGGUGCUCUUGCUGAGCAAACCUCGAGAGAGGUCAAGCAACCCGAGACAGAGCAGUCAGGGGACUGACAGCAAAUGGGAGCAAGACGAUGAUGGAAGGGACGGGAAAGUGAAGGAAAAGGCAGAAAGGGGAGGGUAUGUGAAGGCCAUGUUUGCGCCCCGUUUGGCGUCACUCACCCACAGGUCAGGGUUAUGAGGCAAGACUUCAUGCAGCAGCUACUCACAAACAACCAAAAGCCCCUUUAUCGUAGAGAUCGUGCCAAAGGGCAGCAGAAAAGCUGUCGCGGCUGAUUUGAUCAUCUUUUCUUUUUGAUACACAACUCAACGAAGGAGUCGAGUGCCACAACCGUUUGGGCCACCAUGUGACAUAUUGAAUGUGGACAGUGGCAGAAGAGGGCGAGAGGUCUUGCGCACAGGACAUUUUAUUUCUGUCAGUUAUUCGCCUAACUUGCACGAUGAUCAGAAUCAGCCCCCGUUGCCGCAAAAUUCGUCGCUACAAAAAUAGAGCCCUGAAUCUCUACAGUUCACCACAAUAUAGUUCUGUCUUUGCAUGUGCUUUCAGCAAUUGACCCCUCCGUGGAUAUUGCGCAAUCCGCGUCACUGACCAAUCAGAGGCCAGAGAUGUGCAUAAACCAAAGCCCGUUUUUGCUCCCGCCAUUUUCUCAGACAACAUUGCAUGGUCCAGUAUAGGUUUAGUUAGCGUUUUAUCGCGUAUUUGGGUUAUUUAACAAAAGAUAUGGUUAAGAGGUGUAGUCACGGACUUUGUAAUAGUGACGACAAGUAUCCUGAAAGGCGAGUUGGUGGAGUUCGAUUCGUACCCUUUCCAAAACCGAAGACCCAGUACGAAAAAUGCCUUUGAUGGAUCAAACUUUGUGGAAGACCGCAUCAUCAACUAAAUCCAUCUAAUAUCAACCGGAACACAUGUUUGCACGAAGGAAAGCCUUUGUGAGUUCCAGCAAAGACGCGUGGAGGAGAGUCUGGAAAGUCCGGGCUGACUCAACGUGCCGUCACCUUCGCAGAAUGCAGUGAGCCAGCGCAGACGACGGCGAGCGAGAAAGGCAGACGGCGAGGUCGCAGGCACGCUGUCUGAAAACGCAGCUGAGGCAUGGUGGAGGUACCGAGAGAAAAGCUACUCAAAGGCGGGGUGCACCAUCCAAACUCCACACAGGGAUUCGAUCCGAGACUUCUUUGCGGUGAGGCGGUGCCAACCACUACUCCGUUGCUUGGGGGAGCAAAGGUCGCGAUUUGGACUUGGCAUCGGCCGCAUGCACAUCUGUAUUUGCACCGAGGGUCAGCCGUGCUCACCGGGGGUUGGGGGGGGACGCCGUGAUCAAGGAUGAGGGUCACAGGAGAGCUGGAGCCUAGCCCAGCUAGCUUCGGGCGAAAGGCGGACAACACCCCGAACUGGUUGCAGGGUAGAUAUCGACAUUAUCACUGAGCGGGAAUCGACCAAGCAUCAAAGGCAGCGCUGUGGCUCCCAAACAAACAGUUCGUUUCCUUUGACUUCAUCGACAGACUUCACGCACCACCGUCACGACUGAGAGAUACCUACACGCUUAUGUACAGACGUUCCUAAGAGUUUUACAGUCUUCACUUUUCCUACUCUGCAAACGCUGCUACUGAACACAACAUGGUUAACGGUCAAUGACGGCGUGACCUUGCCUUCAUGACGGUGAAUUGUGAUCAGCCCACCGGGUGAAAGCGUGGAUAAUCACAGUUGCCAAAGAUGGCCACGCACAACGAAGCACUGCUCACCUACUCCAGGUACCAUGGCAUGAUAAAGGAUGGAUAAUGAAAACGGCCUGACUUUUUAACAUAUUCAAGGUAAUAUUAAUGCUGCACAUUAACAUAUUGCUACCUUGAAAGGAACAACAACUAGGCCGGGCCGUUAGCAUUUUUACAAUUGAAAUAAAUGCUGGGACCGGCAUGGUGGCGCAGUUGUAAAGUGCUGGCCUCAUGGUUCUGAAUACCCGGGUUCAAUCCCGGCCCUCCCUCUGUGGAGUUUGCGUGUUCUUCCAGUGCCUCCACGCGUUUUCUCCGAGCACUCCGGUUUCCUCCCAGAUCCCAAAAACAUGCAUUAUUUGGAGACUCUAAAUUGCCCCGAGGUUGGAUGGUGAGUGGGACUGUUGUCUAGCUCGAUGUGCCCUGUGAUUGGCUGGCAACCAGUUUAGGGUGUAGCCUGCUUCCUGCCCGAUGACAGCUGGGAUAGGCUCCAGCACUCCCGCGACCUUUGUGAGGAUAAGCAGCUAAGAAAAUGGAUGGAUGGAUAGAGAGAUAGAGCUUCUUAACGACGCAGAUAACACGGCUGACUAGGUUGGGUAGCAUCAGCUUUGUUACGCUUUGACGUUACUUCAGAGUAGAAAGAUGGCUUCCAAUUUGACGAGGAAUAAGUACUUUUGCUGUUUUGCAUUUUGAUUAAUAAUGAAAUCAUUUACUUGCUGUUCGCUACUACACCAAAUAUU